AUCUAUAGCCAUACCACCAUGAACAUCCCUGAUCUCACAUGAUCUUGGAAGCUAAGCAGAAUUGGGUCUAAUUGGUACUUAGAUGGGAGAGAAAGGAGACGGGAGGAGACA
RNAcentral lists this ribosomal RNA (111 nucleotides) under Erinaceus europaeus (western European hedgehog). Lineage: Eukaryota; Metazoa; Chordata; Mammalia; Eulipotyphla; Erinaceidae. The record is from RNAcentral.